CGGCGAGUGAGCGCGCGCCGACCGUCCACACGGUUUCUCUUUCUCCCCAGGGAGAGCGCGCGGCGGACCCACCCCGGACGCGCGGCGGCACCGAGAAGCCGGGCCGAGCGUCCUUAGGUUCAGUUUUGAAUGUGAAUGGCAGUAAACUAAUACCCAGGAUUUCUGUAUAAGAAGUCGAUCAAAAGGACUGUACUGUCAGGUAAGAAUCUCGUUUUACUU
Molecule: long non-coding RNA, 219 nt
Filed under: Ursus americanus (American black bear)
Lineage: Eukaryota; Metazoa; Chordata; Mammalia; Carnivora; Ursidae
Description: lncRNA (ENSUAMG00000021774.1)
Source: RNAcentral